AGGAUGAACGCUGGCGGCGUGCCUAAUACAUGCAAGUCGAGCGGUAAGGCCCCUUCGGGGGUACACGAGCGGCGGACGGCUGAGUAACACGUAGGAACGUACCCCAAAGUGAGGGAUAAGCACCGGAAACGGUGUCUAAUACCGCAUGUGCUCUUCGGAGUAAAGCUUCGGCGCUUUGGGAACGGCCUGCGCAUGAUUAGCUUGUUGGUGAGGUAAAAGCUCACCAAGGCGACGAUCAUUAGCUGGUCUGAGAGGAUGAUCAGCCAGACUGGGACUGAGAACGGCCCAGACUCCUACGGGAGGCAGCAGUAGGGAAUUUUCCACAAU
RNAcentral lists this ribosomal RNA (327 nucleotides) under uncultured bacterium. Its description in RNAcentral is "SSU rRNA". It matches the Rfam family "Bacterial small subunit ribosomal RNA", at positions 26 to 372 of the family's 1533-position model. The record is from RNAcentral.